This 463-nucleotide ribosomal RNA is filed under the name uncultured Thermovirga sp. Its description in RNAcentral is "bacterial SSU rRNA". It matches the Rfam family "Bacterial small subunit ribosomal RNA", at positions 929 to 1382 of the family's 1533-position model. The record is from RNAcentral. Lineage: Bacteria; Thermotogati; Synergistota; Synergistia; Synergistales; Thermovirgaceae.
GCGGUGGAGCACGUGGUUUAAUUCGAUGCAAACCGAAGAACCUUACCUGGGUUUGACAUGUACGUGUUACUGAUCUGAGAGGAGAGGGACCCAUGCUUCGGUAUGGGAGCGUACACAGGUGCUGCAUGGCUGUCGUCAGCUCGUGUCGUGAGAUGUUGGGUUAAGUCCCGCAACGAGCGCAACCCUGCAUCCAGUUGCCAUCGGGCGAGCCGGGCACUCUGGAGGGACUGCCGGCGACAAGCCGGAGGAAGGUGGGGACGACGUCAAGUCAUCAUGGCCCUUAUGUCCAGGGCGACACACGUGCUACAAUGGCCGGCACAGCGGGAAGCGGAGGGGCGACCCUGAGCGGAUCCCUUGAAAGCCGGUCCCAGUUCGGAUUGCAGUCUGCAACUCGACUGCAUGAAGUUGGAAUCGCUAGUAAUCGCGGAUCAGCCAAGCCGCGGUGAAUACGUUCCCGGGCCUU